GGGCCGUUAGCUCAAUUGGUAGAGCAGCUGACUCUUAAUCAGUAGGUUGUAGGUUCGAUUCCUACACGGCCCACCA
This 76-nucleotide transfer RNA is filed under the name Gammaproteobacteria bacterium. Its description in RNAcentral is "tRNA-Lys". It matches the Rfam family "tRNA". From Rfam's summary of the family: Transfer RNA (tRNA) molecules are approximately 80 nucleotides in length. Their secondary structure includes four short double-helical elements and three loops (D, anti-codon, and T loops). The record is from RNAcentral. Lineage: Bacteria; Pseudomonadati; Pseudomonadota; Gammaproteobacteria. RNAcentral also lists the same sequence under 6 other names.